UCCGCGGCCGCGCAGCCCCAAGGCGGCACCUCCCGGCAGCGCGGCCGCGGUUGGUGCCGCUCCAGAGGGACCGGGCCUCCAGAGAGCUUGGGCAAGAGGAGGCUCGGGGUGACCCCAAGGCUCUCUACAGAUGCUGAAAGGAGGUGAUAGCCAUGGAAGCGUCUUUUCCCGGGCAGCCAGGGGUAGGAGGAGAGGACAUGGCCUCAAGCUGUGCCAGAGAAGGUCUAGGUUGGACAUCUGGAGGAAGUUUUUCACAGAAAGGCUGAUUGGACAUUAGAACGGGCUGCCCCGGACGUGGUGGGGUCACUGUCCCUGGAGGAAAAAAAUUGCACAUUUGAAGGUGGGAGAACCAAAAAUCAUUUUUCAUGCAAGUUUCUUUUCCCCAGAAUUCACAUGCUGAAAUGAUUGUUAAGGUAAUGUUGAAAAUGUUAUUACUGUUACACUUCAAUCUUCCAAAAUGCUUUCUUCAACUGAUAUAUGAAAGUUAUUCCAUUUGACAGCUUGUUAUGUGGCCUAAACAUUGUGCUGUAAUACAUUACAAUGAAUAAAUA
This is a long non-coding RNA of Melospiza melodia melodia, 551 nucleotides long. RefSeq lists it as uncharacterized. NCBI's taxonomy places the organism in Eukaryota, Metazoa, Chordata, Aves, Passeriformes, Passerellidae. The transcript is spliced from 2 exons. The record is from RefSeq and is a predicted model, not a curated record.